AGAUUGAACGCCGGCGGCAGGCCUAACACAUGCAAGUCGAGCGGUAGAGAGGUGCUUGCAUCUCUUGAGAGCGGCGGACGGGUGAGUAAUGCCUAGGAAUCUGCCCAGUGGUGGGGGAUAACGUUCGGAAACGGACGCUAAUACCGCGUACGUCCUACGGGAGAAAGCGGGGGACCUUCGGGCCUCGCGCCAUUAGAUGAGCCUAGGUCGGAUUAGCUAGUUGGUGAGGUAAUGGCUCACCAAGGCGACGAUCCGUAACUGGUCUGAGAGGAUGAUCAGUCACACUGGAACUGAGACACGGUCCAGACUCCUACGGGAGCAGCAGUGGGGAAUAUUGGACAAUGGGA
This 347-nucleotide ribosomal RNA is filed under the name uncultured soil bacterium. RNAcentral's name for it is "bacterial SSU rRNA". It matches the Rfam family "Bacterial small subunit ribosomal RNA", at positions 26 to 376 of the family's 1533-position model. The record is from RNAcentral.